Molecule: unclassified non-coding RNA, 242 nt
Filed under: Hevea brasiliensis (rubber tree)
Lineage: Eukaryota; Viridiplantae; Streptophyta; Magnoliopsida; Malpighiales; Euphorbiaceae
Source: RNAcentral
AAAAUCCAAAUUAACCAAACUGAUUAAUCCGAAGACGAACAUAUAAACUGAUCCAAUCCGAACGUCAAAAAACUGACCCAAUCCAAACUUAUUUAAAUGUAAUCUCUUGAAUUUGAAGACCCAAAAUCCAAUCUGAUGACCCACCCCUAAUAAGAAAGGCUAUCUGAUGCCCAGUAAUCUAAAACCUAAAUAGAAGUCUAGAAUAAUCUAAGCAUUAAUGUUUUUACUCUUUUAGGGAAAAU